RNAcentral lists this long non-coding RNA (243 nucleotides) under Cyanistes caeruleus (blue tit). Its description in RNAcentral is "lncRNA (ENSCCEG00000013319.1)". The record is from RNAcentral. Lineage: Eukaryota; Metazoa; Chordata; Aves; Passeriformes; Paridae.
AGCCACUCCAGUGAGGAUGCUGAACAAUGAGAACUCAGGUAUUCAUCUGCAUUAACAGGGAACAGCAGAGUGAGGAGCUCCCACAUCCAGGCAGAAGGACAGGAAGAAACAAGCUGGAAAACCAGAGACUGUUCCCUGUUUCCUGACUGCUGAAGAUGGGCUGCUGUUGCUACAAACCUUGAAUUCUUUAAAGCAAGAUUACUGCAAUGUUGAAAACAAGUGGUGGAAAAGAAGAUACGGUGU